This 418-nucleotide long non-coding RNA is filed under the name Vigna radiata. Its description in RNAcentral is "long non-coding RNA (VRAD_LNC004552)". The record is from RNAcentral. Lineage: Eukaryota; Viridiplantae; Streptophyta; Magnoliopsida; Fabales; Fabaceae.
GUACAGUAUGAUAUCCGGAUCGAGCGGUUACGAUAUAUCUUAUUAAAGAUAUAAUUAAGGGAUAAUCAAGAAUAUUUAUUUAAAGAUAUUUAACAACUAACCAGAUUUUCAGGUAAGUCUGUUUAUAUUAUAUUNUGUUUAUAUUUUAUUCUGUUGGACUUAUAUCCGUUCAAGGUCCAUGAGACAAAUUAUAAAUAGAGAGUCAGGGCCACAAGCCAGGUACUUCCAAUCACCUUCUAAUCAACUUCCAACUCACACUCAACUACACUCUACUUACGUUUGAGCAGAACUCAAACAUACAAUUGUGAUACACAAUUCCCAAAACCGCUCCUAACUUGAGCGUCGGAGUGCCAUUGCAGGUACCUCCCCCUCCGGUCAAAGAUCGAAGUCCACCCAACGGUCAAGGCUGAAGGAGAGC